This 468-nucleotide ribosomal RNA is filed under the name uncultured bacterium. RNAcentral describes it as "partial 16S ribosomal RNA". It matches the Rfam family "Bacterial small subunit ribosomal RNA", at positions 28 to 507 of the family's 1533-position model. The record is from RNAcentral.
GACGAACGCUGGCGGCGUGCUUAACACAUGCAAGUCGAACGGAAAGGCCCUGCUUUUGUGGGGUGCUCGAGUGGCGAACGGGUGAGUAACACGUGAGUAACCUGCCCUUGACUUUGGGAUAACUUCAGGAAACUGGGGCUAAUACCGGAUAGGAGCUCCUGCUGCAUGGUGGGGGUUGGAAAGUUUCGGCGGUUGGGGAUGGACUCGCGGCUUAUCAGCUUGUUGGUGGGGUAGUGGCUUACCAAGGCUUUGACGGGUAGGCGGCCUGAGAGGGUGACCGGCGACAUUGGGACUGAGAUACGGCGCAGACUCCUACGGGAGGCAGCAGUGGGGAAUAUUGCACAAUGGGCGGAAGCCUGAUGCAGCAACGCCGCGUGCGGGAUGACGGCCUUCGGGUUGUAAACCGCUUUCGCCUGUGACGAAGCGUGAGUGACGGUAAUGGGUAAAGAAGCACCGGCUAACUACGUG